Panicum hallii is the source of this 747-nucleotide long non-coding RNA. RefSeq lists it as uncharacterized. The record is from RefSeq and is a predicted model, not a curated record. The transcript has 3 exons. Lineage: Eukaryota; Viridiplantae; Streptophyta; Magnoliopsida; Poales; Poaceae.
UGUAUUUCUAUCCAUUGUCAAUUUUGUCUUCUCUUACCAAGUCGAAUUGAUUACUGACCUUUUCCCUCGUGAUUGAUUUUGUUCUUCUCCAUUCUGGUCCUGCGGGCAAAAUAUGGGUUUUCCUUUUCUUCCCCUUUUUUCUAUUGCUGCUGCUGCCAAGAUUUCUUGAUGCAGGUCAGGUCAGAUUCUUGUGCCACCACACUAGCGUCCUUCUUGCAGUGACAUGUUCGCUUGUUCUCCACUGAGAUUGAACAUCUUUGGUGAGUGGUGCUCCACCAAGUCAUCCUUUUCAUUCUGGACUUGGUCAUCUUGCAAGAGACUUUUGACUGCCUAGAUACAAUUACACAUAUUUGACAAGAUGUCAGGGCCAUUGAACACUUGAAGUCCUUUAACUUCUGAGUACAGCUGCAAACAAUGACACUGAGCACUCUUAAGUACAGCUCCGAUUACACAAAUAAUCUCGAUGACUACGACUUGACUCUGACCGUGAGCCCAGAGAAUGGAAUUAGGUCAGCUAUCAAUUAACAAUCAUUGGACUGAAGGGAUAUCUUUAUGCAGCGCUAAUCUUAUAAAGCAUUCUCCACCUUUAUGCAGCGCUCAUCCUAUAGCAAUUUUCACCAUGCUCUAUAAGAAGCCUGAAGACUGCCUUUUAGUUAAUGAUGUUGUCAACUACUUCUCAAUGUAUCUAUUGUAAUUACCUGUCUGUUGGAACUCAACUACCAUCGAACUUAAUAAUCUUUUAAAUCA